Mus musculus (house mouse) is the source of this 232-nucleotide long non-coding RNA. RefSeq annotates it as predicted gene, 53334. Lineage: Eukaryota; Metazoa; Chordata; Mammalia; Rodentia; Muridae. The transcript has 3 exons. The record is from RefSeq and is a predicted model, not a curated record.
UCUUAACCACUGAGCCAUCUCCCCAGCGCCACAUCUGUCCGUUUCUACUGGACACCACUGGGGUGUGACCGCCAUGCCUAAUGCUGAGAGAAGAGAGAGAGGAUGAGCUACUCAGCUCCCCACUGCCCUCGACUCACCUCCCUAAUGAAGGGUGGCCCACUCUUGCUUCAACGCCCAUACAGAACCCUCAGAUCCUGAAGCUAUGACUUAGUAAAUUUUUUUAUUUUAUGUA